GGAAGGUUAAUCAAAGAGGGUAAUAAUCCCGUAGACGAAAUAGCGCUUAUACCUAGCAGUAUCCUGAGUAGGGCUGGACACGCGAAAUCCAGUUUGAAUCCGGGAGGACCAUCUCCCAACCCUAAAUACUCCUUAGUGACCGAUAGUGAACCAGUACCGUGAGGGAAAGGUGAAAAGAACCCCGAGAGGGGAGUGAAAUAGCACCUGAAACCGUGUGCCUACAAGAAGUUCGAGCCCGUUAAUGGGUGAGAGCGUGCCUUUUGUAGAAUGAACCGGCGAGUUACGUUAUGAUGCGAGGUUAAGUUGAAGAGACGGAGCCGUAGGGAAACCGAGUCUGAAUAGGGCGACUUAGUAUCAUGAUGUAGACCCGAAACCUAGUGACCUAUCCAUGAGCAGGGUGAAGGUGUGGUAAGACGCACUGGAGGCCCGAACCAGGACACGUUGAAAAGUGUUUGGAUGACUUGUGGAUAGCGGAGAAAUUCCAAACGAACUGGGAGAUAGCUGGUUCUCUCCGAAAUAGCUUUAGGGCUAGCGUCGAAAUGUAAGUGUAUUGGAGGUAGAGCACUGUUUGGGUGAGGGGUCCGUCUAGGAUUACCAAUCUCAGAUAAACUCCGAAUGCUAAUACACAUGUUCGGCAGUCAGACUGCGAGUGCUAAGAUCCGUAGUCGAAAGGGAAACAGCCCAGACCAACAGCUAAGGUCCCAAAAUAUAUGUUAAGUGGAAAAGGAUGUGGGGUUGCACAGACAACUAGGAUGUUAGCUCAGAAGCAGCUAUCAUUCAAAGAGUGCGUAAUAGCUCACUAGUCGAGUGACCCUGCGCCGAAAAUGUACCGGGGCUAAACAUAUUACCGAAGCUUUGGAUUGAUAUUUUAUCAAUGGUAGGAGAGCGUUCUUAACCGCGAUGAAGGUAUACCGUGAGGAGUGCUGGAGCGUUAAGAAGUGAGAAUGCCGGUAUGAGUAGCGCAAGAUAAGUGAGAAUCUUAUCCACCGUAAGACUAAGGUUUCCAGGGGAAGGCUCGUCCGCCCUGGGUUAGUCGGGACCUAAGGCGAGGCCGAAAGGCGUAGUCGAUGGACAACUGGUUGAUAUUCCAGUACUAGAUAUGAUCGUGAUGGAGGGACGCAGUAGGCUAAGAGAUGCCAGUUAAUGGAUUCUGGUCUAAGCAGUGAGGUGUGAGAUGUGUCAAAUGCAUUUCUCUCUAACAUUGAGCUGUGAUGGGGAAGCAACUACGGUUGCGAACUCUCUGAUGUCACACUGCCAAGAAAAGCUUCUAGCGUAAAGUCAUAUCUACCCGUACCGCAAACCGACACAGGUAGUCGAGGCGAGUAGCCUCAGGUGAUCGAGAGAACUCUCGUUAAGGAACUCGGCAAAAUAGCCCCGUAACUUCGGGAGAAGGGGUGCUGGUGUAAAAGCCAGCCGCAGUGAAUAGGCCCAAGCAACUGUUUAUCAAAAACACAGCUCUCUGCUAAACCGCAAGGUGAUGUAUAGGGGGUGACGCCUGCCCGGUGCUGGAAGGUUAAGAGGAGUGCUUAGACGUAAGUCGAAGGUAUGAAUUGAAGCCCCA
Molecule: ribosomal RNA, 1561 nt
Filed under: Escherichia coli
Lineage: Bacteria; Pseudomonadati; Pseudomonadota; Gammaproteobacteria; Enterobacterales; Enterobacteriaceae
Description: partial 23S ribosomal RNA
Rfam family: Bacterial large subunit ribosomal RNA
Source: RNAcentral